RNAcentral lists this ribosomal RNA (344 nucleotides) under uncultured bacterium. RNAcentral's name for it is "bacterial SSU rRNA". It matches the Rfam family "Bacterial small subunit ribosomal RNA", at positions 8 to 334 of the family's 1533-position model. The record is from RNAcentral.
AGAGUUUGAUUAUGGCUCAGGAUGAACGCUGGCGGCGUGCUUAACACAUGCAAGUCGAACGAGGAUUUAACGGAAUGCGAUUCGUCAAAUGAAAUUAAAUCCGAGUGGCGGACGGGUGAGUAACGCGUGGAUAACCUGCCUCACACAGGGGGACAACAGCCGGAAACGGCUGCUAAUACCGCAUAACACAAGUAAUUCGCAUGAAUAACUUGCCAAAGAUUUUAUCGGUGUGAGAUGGAUCCGCGUCUGAUUAGCCAGUUGGCGGGGUAACGGCCCACCAAAGCGACGAUCAGUAGCCGACCUGAGAGGGUGACCGGCCACAUUGGGACUGAGACACGGCCCAA